Amphiprion ocellaris (clown anemonefish) is the source of this 1095-nucleotide long non-coding RNA. The record is from Ensembl. NCBI's taxonomy places the organism in Eukaryota, Metazoa, Chordata, Actinopteri, Pomacentridae.
ACCAAAGAUAGACGACAGCGCGCUAGUGUAACUAGUGUAUGUAUAUCUAUGGCCGGCACGUCUGGUAGCAUCUCUGGCUGCUGUUGAUCUUGUUUUUGGAGUAAAACACGGUAAGAAGGUGGAAGCUGAAUUAGUGAGGAUGACUCCUGCUCCUGUCAUCUCUAAGCUCCUCACACAUCUUUACCUGCACAUGAGGAAAAUCACUCCUGUACAAUGCAGAUGUUCAGAGGGAGAUGAUGCCACAUCUGGUCCAGCUGAUGGAAGGUCUUGAAGUUCUCUGACUGGCCUCGACUGAAGAUGGUCGUCUCACUGGAUUUAAGGUUCAGAUGCUCAGUAACAAACUCCACCAAUGAGCCAACAGGGAAGCUUUAGGUUUAUUAAAUGUUGCUAUGAAGGUAUCGCUGUUUUUCUUUGUGACUGCAAUGUGCUCCAACUGAAACUUGAAUUAGAACUCAGAAGUAAAUCCUUCCAUCUGAAAGGAUUUAGUUGCAUUAAUAACCUCAUAAUAUUCUAAUUUUUAUUCCAGUCUUGGUUGGAAAUAGAAUCUCUGUAUUGAUUCAGGUAAAAACUGAACUUCACAGCAUUUUGGAGCAAAACAACCAGAUGAAAACUGUGAUGGUGUUGGAUUGUCAGACCGUAAUGUUGCAGCUCAAAGCAGCUUUUCUAUCUCAGUUCAUUCUGACAUUCAGCUAUGAAUCAACACAGCAGAUGGUGAUCCAUGCUGUGGAAGUCUCACAUCUCCUGAUUUAAUGGAGCUGCUUUGCACUUUUUACACUGUUUAUUCACCAACACUUUAUUUAAUAAGAGUCCCAUCUAGUUUUUAUGAGGAAUGUGAUGUUUUAAUUUCUUUGUGAAUAACUGCAGUCUAAUGCAACAGCUGGAGUUGUAACAUCUGUCCUGAUAUUGAUCAUCAAGUAUUGAUCAGAAUACUUAUGGUCAGCAGUCAUCCCUGAAGUUUUACAUUAAAAUCUUUACUUGUGUUGUGAACUUUAGUAAGAAGCAGAAAUGUUAGCGUUGCCAUGGAUACAUGAGUGUUAAAUUCUGUCCAUGUUUCCAUUUUGGGAAAUGCAGUCCAGCAGAUGAGUUUGUUUUUAC